UUAAUACUCCGUCCGUCCAGAAAUACUUGUCGGAGGAAUGGAUGUAUCUAGACGUAUUUUAGUUUUAGAUGCAUCCAUUUAUAUCCAUUCAUGCGACAAGUAUUUCCGGACGGAGGGAGUAUUUG
Molecule: non-coding RNA, 125 nt
Organism: Triticum aestivum (bread wheat)
Lineage: Eukaryota; Viridiplantae; Streptophyta; Magnoliopsida; Poales; Poaceae
Source: Rfam